This 478-nucleotide ribosomal RNA is filed under the name uncultured bacterium. RNAcentral describes it as "partial 16S ribosomal RNA". It matches the Rfam family "Bacterial small subunit ribosomal RNA", at positions 28 to 523 of the family's 1533-position model. The record is from RNAcentral.
GACGAACGCUGGCGGCGUGCUUAACACAUGCAAGUCGAACGGUAAGGCCCUUCGGGGUACACGAGUGGCGAACGGGUGAGUAACACGUGGGUGAUCUGCCCUGCACUUCGGGAUAAGCCUGGGAAACUGGGUCUAAUACAGGAUAGUACUCCUGCCUGCAUGGGUGGGGGUGGAAAGCUUUUGCGGUGUGGGAUGGGCCCGCGGCCUAUCAGGUUGGUGGUGGGGUGAUGGCCUACCAAGGCGACGGCGGGUAGCCGGCCUGAGGGGGUGACCGGCCACACUGGGACUGAGAUACGGCCCAGACUCCUACGGGAGGCAUCAGUGGGGAAUAUUGCACAAUGGGCGCAAGCCUGAUGCAGCGACGCCGCGUGAGGGAUGACGGCCUUCGGGUUGUAAACCUCUUUCAGCACAGACGAAGCGCAAGUGACGGUAUGUGCAGAAGAAGGACCGGCCAACUACGUGCCAGCCGCCGCUGUAA